GUAGCGUUGAAACACUGCUUCCCAUAUGGUAACCGAAGUUAACCAACAUUGAGCUUGGUCAGUACCUAGAUGGGUGACCGAUUGGGAAUACCAAGUACUGCAAG
Acanthosepion pharaonis is the source of this 104-nucleotide non-coding RNA. The record is from the annotation of a GenBank genome assembly. Lineage: Eukaryota; Metazoa; Mollusca; Cephalopoda; Sepiida; Sepiidae.